RNAcentral lists this long non-coding RNA (212 nucleotides) under Theobroma cacao (cacao). RNAcentral describes it as "long non-coding RNA (TCAC_LNC006219)". Lineage: Eukaryota; Viridiplantae; Streptophyta; Magnoliopsida; Malvales; Malvaceae. The record is from RNAcentral.
UGCAGUGACGGGUUUCCGUGGACUGCCUAUUAGAGGGGCACGGUAAACCUGGUUAUAUAGUUACUCCGAUUGUAGAGGCGAGGAGGGUAACUCCCGGGGUAGUAUUAGAGCUCACUUCACGUCGAACCCCCACGUGAAUGUGUAACUCGGCCAACGCCAAGGAACGGCUUGUUUUAAAAAUAAAAAUGUGUUUCACAUGUAAAUGUUAUAAC